This 377-nucleotide ribosomal RNA is filed under the name uncultured organism. RNAcentral describes it as "partial 16S ribosomal RNA". It matches the Rfam family "Bacterial small subunit ribosomal RNA", at positions 525 to 896 of the family's 1533-position model. The record is from RNAcentral.
GGGGGGGGAGCGAGCGUUGUUCGGAAUUACUGGGCGUAAAGGGCGCGUAGGCGGCCGAGUAAGUCGCGUGUGAAAGGGCCGGGGGCUCAACCCCGAGCGCUGCACGCGAUACUGCCCGGCUAGAGAGAGGUAGAGGCGAGCGGAAUUCCCGGUGUAGCGGUGGAAUGCGUAGAUAUCGGGAAGAACACCUGUGGCGAAGGCGGCUCGCUGGGCCUUUUCUGACGCUGAAGCGCGAAAGCGUGGGGAGCAAACAGGAUUAGAUACCCUGGUAGUCCACGCCGUAAACGUUGGGCACUAGGUGUCGGGAGGCUUGGUCCUCUCGGUGUCGUAGCUAACGCAUUAAGUGCCCCGCCUGGGGAGUACGGUCGCAAAGGCUG